Molecule: ribosomal RNA, 649 nt
Filed under: uncultured bacterium
Lineage: Bacteria
Description: bacterial SSU rRNA
Rfam family: Bacterial small subunit ribosomal RNA
Source: RNAcentral
AGUUUGAUCCUGGCUCAGAUUGAACGCUGGCGGCAUGCUUUACACAUGCAAGUCGAACGGUAACAGGGAGCUUGCUCCGCUGACGAGUGGCGAACGGGUGAGUAAUAUAUCGGAACGUACCCAAGAGUGGGGGAUAACGUAGCGAAAGUUACGCUAAUACCGCAUACGAUCCAAGGAUGAAAGCAGGGGACCGCAAGGCCUUGUGCUCCUGGAGCGGCCGAUAUCUGAUUAGCUAGUUGGUAGGGUAAAGGCCUACCAAGGCAUCGAUCAGUAGCUGGUCUGAGAGGACGACCAGCCACACUGGAACUGAGACACGGUCCAGACUCCUACGGGAGGCAGCAGUGGGGAAUUUUGGACAAUGGGGGCAACCCUGAUCCAGCAAUGCCGCGUGAGUGAAGAAGGCCUUCGGGUUGUAAAGCUCUUUUGUCAGGGAAGAAACGGAUGUGGCUAAUAUCCAUGUCUAAUGACGGUACCUGAAGAAUAAGCACCGGCUAACUACGUGCCAGCAGCCGCGGUAAUACGUAGGGUGCAAGCGUUAAUCGGAAUUACUGGGCGUAAAGCGUGCGCAGGCGGUUUUGUAAGUCUGUCGUGAAAUCCCCGGGCUCAACCUGAGAAUGGCGAUGGAGACUGCAAGGCUGGAAUCUGGCAG